RNAcentral lists this transfer RNA (90 nucleotides) under Streptomyces albidoflavus. RNAcentral's name for it is "tRNA-Gly". RNAcentral also lists the same sequence under 2 other names. The record is from RNAcentral. Lineage: Bacteria; Bacillati; Actinomycetota; Actinomycetes; Kitasatosporales; Streptomycetaceae.
UCGGUGGCGUGCGCGGCCUGGUGGCGCGGGGCGGCGCUGCCCGCGCGGGCCUCGGCCCCGGCGGCGGCGUUCGGGCCGCCGGCCGCCGAG